GUCAGAACAUUGGACACAACAUGAGGUCAGUACAUUAGACACAACAUGAGGUCAUUACAUUAGACACAACAUGAGGUCAGGAGACACAACAUUUUUUUUUUUUUUCUUUUCACCUUUAUUUAACCAGGUAGGCCAGUGGAGAACAAGUUCUCAUUUACAAUUGCGACCUGGCCAAGAUAAAGCAAAGCAGUUCGACACAUACAACGACACAGAGUUACACAUGGAGUAAAACAAACAUACAGUCAAUAAUACAGUAUAAACAAGUCUAUAUACGAUGUGAGCAAAUGAGGUGAGAUAAGGGAG
Long non-coding RNA from Oncorhynchus tshawytscha (Chinook salmon), 303 nucleotides. The record is from Ensembl. NCBI's taxonomy places the organism in Eukaryota, Metazoa, Chordata, Actinopteri, Salmoniformes, Salmonidae.